RNAcentral lists this long non-coding RNA (19724 nucleotides) under Cicer arietinum (chickpea). Its description in RNAcentral is "long non-coding RNA (CARI_LNC002769)". Lineage: Eukaryota; Viridiplantae; Streptophyta; Magnoliopsida; Fabales; Fabaceae. The record is from RNAcentral.
UCCUUUUACAAAACAACAUUAGGUCGUCUUCUCUACGACUCUUCUUCUUCUCCGCAACUCUUCUUCUCGUUGUUUGUUUCUCAGCGCUGAACCAAGUUCUUCUUAUAGCUUGUUUGUUUCUCCGCUGAACCAAGUACUUCUUAUCGCUUGUUUUCAUUUAUGCGUCGUCUCUUUGAAAGAAUAGUUAAGUAUUUCAGUAAAAAUGGUGAAGGACACAAAUAGUAAUGCAGUGGUGGUGUUGAACCUUGUCUAUGAUUCAUGUACGAAAGAAGUAAUGUAUGCCUACACUGAUAAGUGUUUCGUAGACAUACUAUUAAGUUACUUAACACUGCCGCUUGAAACGAUAGCUACACUUGUUCAAUAGGAAGAAAGUUCUGUUAUUGGAAAACUAGAUCUCGGUUGUGUUACACAGAUACAUAAAUCUUUGGAAAAUCUAACUGAUACUCAUCUCUGCAACAGAGCUGAUGCAAAACAAGUAUUAUUGCAUCCGGUAAAUGUUUCUGAUGUAUUUGUUAAUGGUGGAUGCUAUUACAUAAUAAAGGACGACUUGACAGUACUCCCUUUUUCUCCGGAUACAUUCUCUGUCAGACUCUUGAAAGAGAAAUGCCAAACAAGCACACACGUUCGUUGAAGGAACAAGAAUUAAAGUUUACUAAGACUGAGGUUUACAAUUACUUACCAAAUUGUGUGUAUUUUGUUCCCCUAUUUCUAUAGUUUAAAACUUAUUUUUGACUGUUUAUUCUUUUUUUCUUUAUUACACAAAUGAAUGAUUUUUUCAAAUGUUGCUUGUUGUCAAAAUCUCCUUUGACAACUUUUUUUAAAAGAUCUCUUAGACAAAGUAUACAUGAACAUGUUCAUGCAGCUUGCGAAUAUGAAUAUGAUUUUGAAAAGGAUAUGAGUAUGCCAUUAAAACUGUUAUUGAAUAAAUCUAAUGGAUCAAUCAUUCUCGCGAAUGCUACUCAAGACUUUGCUGAGAUGUUGGUUAGCUUCCUGACCUUUCCCUUGGGUAGUGUUGUGAAAAAAUUAGAAUGUAAUACUGGUUUAGGGAGCAUAGAUACACUUUACAAAAAUGUAUUUAACUUAGAUGAAGAGAUGUGCCUAUCGUCAAAGAGUGACAUGAAUUAUCUGGUUGACCCUCUUGUGGCACAUAACUGGCUUUCUGACAUCCUACUUUUACAUAGAAGAAAACCAGAGUUGUUUGUUCAGAAAACACAGAAAACAGCAACCGUAUUUUAAAAGGGCCAAGCAUGUAUUUAGUGCAUCCAAAUUUUAAUGUUUAGUGUAUUGAAGCCAACAGUUCAAGAUUUAACUUCGUCACUUGGCCGUUAUGAUGUCAAUUCUCUAACUGAAAAAGUUAUAUCUAUCGGCAUGAGAGAGGUACUUCAAGUUAACCUUUUAGAUUUAUAAUAUUGAAUGUCACCCUAUUCAAAAACAUAAUUCAUUUUCUAGAUCGUUGUAGUGCCUUCAAAUGUUGAAGGCGUCGUCGACUUCGUCAAAUGCUUUGGAAGAUGGCCUUCGUCACUUUCUAAGAGAAGUUGAGGUGGUAAGCAUUGAAAUUCCUUUUUGCCACUUUUGUUAUAACCUGGCUUGGGUGGCUUGCUUGAUUAUACUAUUGAUAAGAGGUAAAGGUAUUGGCUUGGGUGGCUUGCUUGAUUAUAAUGUUGACAAGAGGUAAAGGUAUUUUGAAAGAGUCUGAAAAAGUUCUAAGAAUAGAGUUGAAGUUGACAAAUUAUAUCAAAUGGUGACAUUCUUUAUGUGUAUUGAACUUGAGAAAAUAGUGGUAAUUAUAAGUAUAUGAUGAACAUGUUGAUUUCAUUUUGAUGUUUUCUUAUAUUUUUUUGUAAGAGCAUUGAUAUAUCUAUUUUUAAAAUUUUAACAAAGUUGUUUUAGACAUAUUUCUGAUGCUGAUGUAGAAAAGUUAAGAGUGAAAGAGGUUAGUGGCGCUAAAAUGUGUUUUUUAAGUUAUGUGUUACUAUGUAUAAUCCUUAUACUUAUUCGACGUUGUUGAUUGAUGGAGGACCAAUAAGACGUUAGAUAUAUAUAUUUAGAACAACAAUUGUAGGUAUUUUAGUGUUUACUCUUAAAUAUAUAUUCAGUUCAAUCAGGUGGGCUUUAUUGUUAGAAUUGAACUCAUGAUCAUAUCAGUUUGUGUUCUGCUUCAACUAGACUGAAUCGUAGAAUAUUUUGAUGUUUGAAUAUUUGAUUUUUUUCUCCUUUUUCUCUGACGCAGGCUUAUGCUGGUCUUUUCAAUUUGGGAAAUACCUGUUAUAUGAAUUUGACAUUGCAAUGCCUCCAUUCUAUGCCAGAAUUGAAGUUGGCUUUAAUGAAGUAAAUAUUUUUUAAGGAGUCAAAUUUGUUGCCUUUGUAGCUGAUAUAUUACUUAACAAUGUUUGAACUUUGUUGGGAUCAGGUACUCAGAUGCAGGACGAAACAAUGAUGUUGAUGAGACUUGUCAUAACUUGACCAUUGCAAUUUGUCACUUAUUCACUAAGCUUGAUGAAAGUGCCAAGCCUGUGACACCUACGCAAUUUUGGAUGGUACAUUAUCUAGUGUCCAUAAUUUAUCAAUUUUGGAUGACUCAUUUUUAAUGAUUGAUUACUGUUUGACUUUUGUAUCACAUAUAAAGAAAUGGUAUAGUCCUUCCUGAUUUGCCUCUGUAUUUGACAGGUAUUGCAGGAAAAGUAUCCUCAAUUUAACCAGCUGCAUAAUGGAGUGUUCAUGCAACAGGUUCGUAAGUUGAACGCCAACAUUUACUUAUUAGUUUCAUUGUUGUUGCUGUAGUGAAUUUAUAUUCCUUCCUAUUUAACUCUUCCUGUCUAACAGGAUGUUGAAGAAUGUUGGACACAACUUCUAUUCACACUUUCACAAUCUCUAAGAUACCUUAGAUCUAGGCAACUAACUUUCUCCGUAUUUCUUUGUAUAAAGAUGCAGUUGUUGCAGUAUCUUGUGACUUCUCAAUUCUCACUUCUUGACGUCUUCUAGAUAUGAUAAAUUCUCAGGAUUUAUUGCCAAUAGAGCAACGAAGAAAGCUCUAAUACAGAAUAUGUUUAUUCACUUAAAUGCCACAAAUCUCAAGAGGUAAAAAAUCUGCAUGAAGGGCUAAAAUAAGUAAGUGCUAAAGCUAAUAUAUUCCAAAUACCGAUAGUGCAUGCAGUAAUGUUUCGACAUAUUUUCUUUUUUGUGUAAUGAAGAAAUUUUAUUAACUUAACUACUGAUUUUGAUAGGGUUUAAAAUCAGAGUUGGAAAAAGCUUCUGCUGCUUUGGGUCAUAAUGCUCUUUUUUCAAAAGAAUCACAAAUCAAUGCCCUGCCGAGGUUAUUUCAGUUGGAAGUUGGAACACAUCAUCAUACUCAUAAUUAAAAUAUUUGUCCUAUUUUUUAUUUCAAAUAAUAGGCCUCAUGGUGGUUCAUAUGAAGAAAAUCUUGUAUUUCUUUCUUGUGUUUCUAUUUCAACUUUUUAGGUACUUGACUGUUCAGUUUGUCCGUUUAAUUUGGAAUAGGGAAUCAAACCAAAAGAUCAAGAUUUUGCAAGUAAUGCUUACUAAUUUCUUUUUAUUUGCUUUCUCAAUUUAUUUAUUAUUUUAUUACAUAAUAAAUAAUAAUACAAUUGUGGUUGGUUAUGUCACAGAAAGUAGAUUUUCCUGUGGAGUUGGAUGUUUAUGAUAUUUGUUCUGAUGAUCUUAAAAAGAAAUUGGAAGCUCGUAGACAGGUAUUUGUGCAUUUGACAGAUUUGACAAAUGCACGAAUAUAAUGAAUGAUCGCUUAUAUUAUUUUAUUACAUAAUAAAUAAUAAUACAAUUGUGGUUGGUUAUGUCACAGAAAGUAGAUUUUCCUGUGGAGUUGGAUGUUUAUGAUAUUUGUUCUGAUGAUCUUAAAAAGAAAUUGGAAGCUCGUAGACAGGUAUUUGUGCAUUUGACAGAUUUGACAAAUGCACGAAUAUAAUGAAUGAUCGCUUAUACUUUGUUGUUGUUAAUUUAGGGAUCGUCAAAUGACAAUGAGUGGAGUUUAUGAUUUGGUUGCUGUAUUGACCCACAAAGGUGUGAGUGCUGAUUCAUGACAUUAGGUUGGUUGAGUUAAGCAAAAAAAUGGUUGGUUGGUUCUAAUUGGAAAUAAACUUGUGACUAUUAAUCCCAUUAAUAAUAAUAAUACAUACAUACAUACAUACAUACAUAUAUACAUAUAUACAUACAUACUAUUGUCAUACAUACAUACAUAUUAUUGUCAUACAUACAUACAUACAUACAUACAUACAUAUAUACUAUUGUCAUACAUACAUACAUAUAUACUAUUGUCAUACAUACAUACAUACAUAUAUACAUACUAUUGUCAUACAUACAUACAUAUUAUUGUCAUACAUACAUACAUACAUGCUAUUGUCAUACAUAUAUGCUAUUGUCAUACAUUCAUACAUACAUACAUACAUACAUACAUACAUACUAUUGUUAUACAUACAUACUAUUGUCAUACAUACAUACAUACAUACUAUUGUCAUACAUAUAUACAUACAUACUAUUGUCAUAAAUACGUACAUACAUACAUACAUAAGCCUGAGUCUGACCUAUUUAAAUAAAUAGAAUUUAAAAAUGGCCUAAGCCUAGCGUUUUUAUUAAAUUGACCAGGCCAUGCCAUAAGUAGGCGAUGUCAUAGGUCCUUGACGGACGGCCUAGCCUAUUCUCAUCCCUAUUUGCCACAUUAAAACUUUAUUUCAAUAUCAUUUAUUUAUUAUUUAAGGUAUUAAAAAAAUAAAGAAUUAAAUUGUAAGUACGAAUAUAAUAAUAAUAAUACAUACAUACAUACAUACAUACAUACAUACAUACAUACAUACAUACAUACAUACAUACAUACAUACAUACAUACAUACAUACAUUUGUCAUACAUACAUACUAUUCUCAACAGGGAAAUGGAUAGAGUUUGAUGAUGACAAUCCAAGACCUAGAGUACAAAACGAUAUUACUAGACUAUCUGGAGGAGGUGAGAAUGAAUAAAUAUACUACUCAAUGUUGUAUAUGAUGAUGAUAUGCUUAAAAAUGUUGAAUCAUGUUUUUUGUGUUUAGGUGAUUCGCAUAUGGCAUAUAUAAUCAUGUACAAGGCUCGUGAUGUCUGAUCUCUUCUAAUGGGUUACCUUUGAUUAGUUAAAGGAUUCAUUAUAAAAAGAAUGAAUAGAAUAGUCAACAGGUGGGUCAUUGUUUUUAUUUUACACCUUAGAUGAAUGCUGGUUAGUUAGAUACUCUUAUUUGUUUAAUGUAGAAAAAGCAAGAUACGUUAAAUUGCACCAAACUCAAUCAUAGACAUGCUAGAAUUGGUACUUGAAGACAGUACAUAUGAUGAGUUCAUGUAAAAAUGCACUAUAUUCCUAACGUAGAUACAAUAGAUCUACAAGAAUAUAUUGAAUGCAAUACACCUUCAAUGAAACUAACAGCAAGACCAAACUUAGUGAUACCGUGAAUCAACCAUCCUUUGUCAAAUCAAAAAUAGGAACAACUUGGAUGUUUAUUUUGCCAUGGCCGAACCAAAAGCUUGAUCAGCUGUGGUCAUCUACACCCACGCUAUAGCAAGCUAGCACUGCAUUGCUACCUCCCACAAUUCUUCUAAAUUUGUUAUCUUGAUUAAAACCUUACUCUUAGCAAAUUCCAAGAAUACAAUUUUACAAAUUCUACUAUCUCUUCUAUUGAUGAUUCUUUAUUUUAUUUUUUAUCAUGUGCUUUCGAAAAUUAUCCAUAUGCAUNNNNNNNNNNNNNNNUUGGCAACCAUCACUAAAAGUUUUGAAGACGUUCUAUAGUGACAUUUGGAAGUAUUACUCAUUACGUCUAGCCACUCUGCCAUCUCACACCACACUCUAGAGAAGAAUUGACAUUUGAAAAACAAAUAGUUUGCCAUUUUAAUUCUCUCAUUACGCCUCACUCCUUUGUCCUCCGUAGGAAUUUGAAAUUAUUCAAUGUCUUUCUCCCAACACACUUUAUCCCAUUUUACCUAGUAUACUUUUUUCGCUUUCUCAAUCCCUCCCUACAAAAAUUGUUUAAAUAAAGAUUUAGCUUUAAAAUUAGGUCUAAUGGAGUGUUGAAGAAGGACAAAUAGAAGACAAAGAGCCUAGAGAGAACAUAGCGCAACUUGACAAUUUAAUAUCUUAUUGAAAUAUUCUUACUCUUUCAAGACAAUAAUAUAUUUCUCACCUUCAACAAAAUUGUUUCUCAAGUCUUCUUACUUCAGGGAUUUUCCCGUAUAGGUAAACCUAAAUAAAUGAAUGGGAAUUUUCCAACUUAAUAAUUUAACAACUUUGCAAAGUCUAGUAACAAAUCUCCAAUACAUUUACACGCAUCAAACUACUUUUAUGAAAAUUGACCUUCAACUUUGAUAAUUGCUUGCACAUUUUUCCACCUUUUGCACUCCAUACAAUUGUGUGGUAUCAACAAACAGUGAGUGUAAGACAUGUUGAUUAUGAUUUCUAAAUCUAUACCCUACAUUUUUUUUUCUUUCUAAUACCACUACUUUUUCAUCAUGGCAUCUAAACCUUCAGUUGGGACGAGGAAGAGAAAAGGUGACAAAAGUCGCUCAACUCCUUUUCCAUAAUAAAGUGCUUUGUCGGACUUCCAUUGACCAACACAAAAAUUAUUAAUGUGUUCAAACAUUCCUUUAUCCAUUUCCUCAAUUAAUCACAAAAAUCCAUUAGAUUGUUCUCCCUAUCUUGUCUUGAACUUUUCCUCUCAGCCACAACGACCAAUCGCGCUUCUUGGUCUUGAUCCCUUAGACUAUGUCUGCUUCUUAUAUUUUUUAUUUUUCAGGUUCUUACUAUUUUCUUCUUCCUACUAAAUUAAUUUCUCUCUAUAAAUAGAUAAACUAUGUAAUAUGAAAUGAUAAAUCAACUGAUAUCAAACAAACUCUAGCACUCUAAUUAGCAACUCAACUACUACCUAUUACCAAACUAUAACAAACUUUUAUAUGUUAUGUUAAUAAUUGAUAUAUGAUAUGUUGUGAUACUAUUUGUUAAUUGUAAAUUUUAUAGUUAAUUUGUGAACUUUAUGAUAAAACUCUUUUAGCAUAUUAUAUUGUUUUAGUUAAUUUGUAAAUGUCUCUUUUCACAUAUUAUAUUUUUAUUUUGAAUUGAUGUUAUGUUGAAUCUUUGAUAAAACACUUUUACGAAUUUCAAUUGUAAUAUUUUAAUUAAUAUUUGUCGCUCUCCCAAUAUUUUGGACAAGAUCCGCCACUGGUUGUAUGUAACUCCAAUACACAAAAUCACAUGUUUUCUCAAAAUCAACAUUUGCCUAAGGGGAACGGUUAAUGCUUACCAAAGGGGGGUUAAAAAUAGCUGAAUUGGAGGUAAAUGUGUCUACUGUUACUCUACAAAUCUAUCUUUUAUAUUGAUUAUGAAUAAAUGGUGAGAAUGACUCUUAAUCUCUUAAUUCCUAUUUUGAUUUUUAUGCCUACUUGGAAUUCCACCCCAUCCCCUUCAAAUCUGCAUAGUAACCAAAACAAAAAAUGAAAGAAAUAGAGACAAUGAGAAAGUGCAACAAAAAAAAAAAACAUAACCUGCUCAACUUGUGACUCAAUUUAUUUUAUGAGUUUUAAGAGUUCCAUGCCAGUUCUCAUUUAUCUCAGUAUUAUUUGAAUCAUUUUCUAUAUGUCUGUCCAUACUCCAUCAAAUACUCUUCUUAUGUUGGCAUUAAUAAGAGACAAUGCCUCUCACAAUCUUUAAUCUUUCUUCCAUUAUUCUUGGAUGCUGCACUUGAAACUAUAAUAGCGGUAUAAUGUAUUUUGCAUCCUUCUGACUCAUUUUGUAGUUACAUUAUAUUACUAUAUACAUUGUAGUCAGUCUUCAUGCACUUGACAACUAUGUAGAGAUCAGAUGUUAAUACAUAGUCUGGGAAUUAGUUUGAUACUUGCAUUUUUAUUUUGAGUGCUUGAUCUUAUUUAAGUUUAAUUUUAAGUACUUAAUCCCUAAGAUUUAGAGGGUUAAAAAAAAUCUUGAAUAUGUGUGAAGAAGUAUGUUGAAAUUGAGUUUAAUAUGAUAAAAUGAUUUUUCAUCAUCUCAAUUGAAGCAAAGAGCGUCCAAUAUAUAUGAGAUAAAUUUAUUAUUGUCUCCCUUAUCUUUUAUCUUUCACCUUGUCAAAGCAUAUGAAAAAGACUUUUUACCUUUUUUACCCUCUACUAUUUGAUAGUAAACAUUUCUGAAGUUAUUAACAUUUUGAUAAUUUUAAAUUUUCGAUUUUUUUAAAGAGUUCUAGAAAAAUUGCAUUUCGAAAACUGUGUUCAUCCAAAUUCUUGAUUGUUUUUUUCUUAAUUUUUAAAAAAAUUGCAUUUUAGAAGUUUCACAUUUGUUCAAAUUUUUCAAAUUUUUCAAAUUUUAUUAAACUUUUGAAAAAAAAUACAUUUCAGAAGUUUCACAUUCAUUCAAAAUUUUGAAUUUUUUUAAAACUUUUAAAAAAAUUGCAUUUAAAAAGUUUCAUAUGUAUCAAAAGUUUCGAUCUUUUUUUAAACUUUUGAAAAAAUUACAUUUCAAACGUUUCACAUUAUUUCAAAGUUUCAAACUUCUUUUAAACUUUUAGAAAUUUUUUACUAUCAAGUAGUUUAAGGUAAAAUUAUCUUGUCAUGUGUUUUAAAGGAGUGAGUAAAUGUGAGAUGGUGGAUGAUAACUUUCUCUAUAUAUGAGGAAUUAUUAAGUGAGAGGAGUUUUCACAUGAGAUAGUGAAAUAAUUAAAUUUUAAUCAUACAAUCAUACAUAGCUGACUGUGAUAGAAAGUAUCGUAUAGUCACUUAAAAAAGUCACAUGACUUUUUGUUUUAAUUUUAACUAUUCAUGACUUGAUCAAUGACUAAGAUUUAUCCUUUUUACAUUCUCAUUUUAAAACUCAUCCCAUUUGAUAUGUUUCCUAUAUAUAUAUACUUAUAUAUUUUUCUAGGCAACAAACUUUAAAUCGCCAAAAGAUGAUAGACGUUCCUCUGAGUCUAGUUAUUGGCCUGAGGAUCAUGGAACAAUAUCACUAAAAACAAUUUAUAUAUUUUUUUGAACUUCUAAGUUUGAUGUAGUUGUUUUGUAUGUUUAGCCACUUCAAAAUAUUUUGGUUUUAUAAUGUUCAAAUUACUUUAUUUAUUCGUUUAAUUAAGUUCUAGUAUAGAGGUCGUUAGUUUUGAAUAUAUUAUAUGAAUGAGAUUUAGCCAUUUACAAUUAAAUAUUUAUAUAUCUUAAUUAUAUGAAUGAUAUUUUUAAAUAUUAUUCAAAUUAAUUUAAAAUUAAUUGUUAUUUAAUAAGUUAUUAAAAUAAAUUUAAUGAAACUUGAAAAACCAAGUCAGCAAUUGGACAAGAGAUUUUAACGGCAAUAGUGCCUAAUUCUUAGCUUCUAACGGCUGCAUUACAUAUGGAUCAUUAAUCUUUAAGUUUACUUUUUAGAUAUUCAACAAAUACAGUAUUCACUUGUACCUACUUCUAUCUAAUUACUCUAAAAGUCAAUUUCCAAGUAAAACUUACAUCAGCUUCUCCUUCUCUUAAAAUAAGGUCAUGGCAAGAACUAAAGUCAAUUUGUGCAGCCUUAGCCCCUAUAAGCUGUGAAUGUUUUUAAUCAACUUUAUCAUUUUUGGUGGCUUAAGUCCUCACAAAUUUGUGGCGGACUGUGUCACAAAUUUGUGAGGGCUUAAGCUUUCACAAAUGAUAAUAAAAAAACCAACUUUUGUGGUCGUUUUUGCCGCCACAAAAAUUUGUGAAAUUUGUGAUGUGAUGGGGUUAUUUGUGAGUGUCUUAGGCCGCUUCAAAUGUGUCUGUUGUAGUUGUUUUUCUCCCUUUGUGAGGGCUAUUGGCUGCCACAAAAUCUGAGUUUUCUUGUAGUGAUAAACCUAUUGGAAUAAGUUGAUAUUGUUGGGUUUUUGGCUCCCUUCCUAUGUGGAGAAAGGCCCAAUAUGUGCAAGCCCAUGUGUCUCACUUAACCAAGUGAAGAGAGGUCAGAUUAGUGAGAGAGAGAGAGCUGAAAUCAGAGAGUGAGGCAAAGAGAAAAGCGAGAGAGGAAGAGCAAAAUCCAUUUUCGCAUAAAAUAGAGCAGCUGCACUAGAUUCACGAUUUCUCCUUCGUUCACCGUUGGAUCGGGCUGCAAUUUGGACAGCAGGUUCGUGACUCAUGGUACUUCCAUCUAACUGGUUGGAUCGUCGAUCGGAGGUCUGAGGUGGGAGAUAUUGAGCUCGUACAGUAGCAGUAUUUCCUGGUUUUUCUGCUGAACUUUGUUCUCAAUUUCAUGUUUGUUUUCUCAUUGUUUUGGCUGAUUGUUGUGCUGGUUACCUUGCUAUUUUUUGGCUGGUUACUGAGCACGAAUUUGUACCAUAUUUGAAACUCUCAUGUACCCAUAUUGUGUCCUUUGUGGUAGUGAUUUUAGUUGCUGUGAUUAUUUGUUGUUGCUCCUCACAGAUUCUUGCAAGUUUGGGAAAUUGAUUAUCCGCUGCAUAUUGCUCUGUUAGAGUUGUUAUUGUUAUUUGUUGUUGAAUUUCCCAUCAGAGUGGCAUCAGAGCUCUUUGGUUAAGGGGCUGUUUGACUUGUUUGAAUGAUGGAGGCAAAUAAAAAUAGAAUGAUUUGUUUGAAUGACACUAAUUAUCACUUAUGGAAGGGAAAAAUGAAGGAUCUGUUAUUUGUGAAGAAUUUGCAUCUUCCUGUGUUUGCUAGUGAGAAGCCAGAAUCCAAGACUGAUGAGGAUUGGAGUUUUGAACAUCAGCAGGUUUGUGGUUUUAUUCGGCAAUAUGUAGAAGACAAUGUUUAUAAUCACAUUGCUAAUGAGGAACAUGCAAGAUCCUUGUGGAAGAAGAUUGAAUCUUUGUAUGCUUCUAAAUCAGGGAAUAAUAAGUUGUAUUUGUUGAACUCCUUGAUGAAUUUGAGGUACAAGGAGGGGACUUCUAUUUCAGAUCACUUAAAUGAUUUUCAAGGGCUCCUAGAUCAAUUGUCAGGUAUGGGUAUCAAAUUUGAUGAUGAAGUGUUGGGACUAUGGCUACUGAAUACUCUACCAGAUUCUUGGGAAAUGUUUCGGGUUUCAAUUACAAACUCAGCUUCUGAUGGUGUUGUCUCUUUGCAAAGUGUAAAGGGAAGUGUUCUUAAUGAGGAGAUGAGAAGGAAGGCACAAGGUACUUCAUCUCAUUCUGAGGUACUUGUCACUGAGAACAGGGGCCAUAGCCAAAGAAAGGAACCGAAAGGGAACAGACAGAAUAACAGAAGUGCGAGUAGAGAGAACAACAGAAGUAAGUCCAAGUCCAGAUACAAGAAUGUGGAGUGCAAUUAUUGUCACAAAAUGGGGCACAUACAGAGGAACUGUUUCAUAUGGAAAAGGGAGAGCAAAAACAAUAACAGUAAGCAGAGAGAUAAGAAUCAUGAUGAUGAUGACCGUGUUACUACUGCUACUUGUGAUGAUCUGAUUAUUCUCCGUGACUAUGACUCAGUCAAUCUUGUAUCAGAUGAGAGCAUCUGGAUUAUUUAUAGUGGUGCUACAUUGCAUGUUACACCAAAGAAGGAGUUCUUCACAUCUUACACUUCUAGUGACUUUGGAGUGUUGAACAUGGGUAAUGAUGGUGAGUCUAAGGUAGUUGGUAUUGGUGAUGUUUGUUUGCAAACCAACAUGGGAGUACAGUUGUUGCUUAGAGGAGUCAAACAUGCUCCAGAUGUUCGCUUUAAUUUGAUCUCUGUGCAGAUGCUUGAUGAUGGUGGUUAUGAUAAUCACUUUGGUUCAGGAAAAUGGAAACUCACCAGAGGUAACUUAGUUGUGGCCAGAGGGGAGAAAAUUAAUAAACUGUAUUGGACUAAAGCAUUGGUUGCUAAAGACAGUGUGAAUGCCAUGGAUAUGGAGGCUUCUUUGUGGCACCGCAGGCUUAGUCAUAUCAGUGAAAAGGGGCUGAAUUUUUUAGCUAAAAAGGAUUUACUUCCGGGAUUAAAGAGUUCAGAGUUGGAGAAAUGUUCUCAUUGCAUGGCUCGUAAGCAGACUAGAGUAUCCUUCAAGAAACAUCCUCCCUCAAGGAAGUCAGAGUUGCUUGAAUUGGUGCAUUCUGAUGUUUGUGUCCCGUUGAAGGUAAAGUCAUUUAGUGAUGCACUUUACUUUGUUACUUUUAUUGAUGAUUGUUCCAGGAAGCUUUGGGUCUAUGCUUUGAAGACAAAAGACCAAGUUCUGGAGAAAUUCAAAGAGUUCCAUGUUAUGGUGGAGAGACAGUCAGGCAAGAAGUUCAAAUGCAUUCGUACUGACAAUUGUGGUGAGUAUUGUGGACCAUUUGAUGUUUAUUGCAAGCAGCACGGUAUCAAACAUGAAAAGACUCACAUGAAAAGACUCCUCCUAAAACUCCUCAGCUGAAUGGUUUAGCAGAGAGAAUGAACAAGACAUUGAUUGAAAGAGUUAGGUGUAUGCUUUCUGAAGCAAAGUUGCCUAAGCAUUUCUGGGGUGAAGCAUUGUACACGGCAGUGCAUGUUAUUAAUCUGAGUCAUGCAGUUGCUUUGAAUGUUGAGGUGCCAGACAAGAUUUGGUUUGGCAAGAAUGUCAGGUAUGAUCAUUUGCGUGUCUUCGGUUGCAAAGCAUAUGUGCAUGUUCCAAAGGAUGAGAGAUCCAAGUUGGAUGCGAAGACAAGACAAUGCAUCUUUAUCGGUUAUGGUCAGGAUGAAUUUGGCUACAAGUUGUAUGAUCCAGUUGAGAAGAAAGCUGUUAGAAGCCGUGAUGUGAAGUUCAUGGAAGACCAAACGAUUGAAGACAUUGAUAGGAUGGAGAAGACUACACCUGAGAUUGAUAAUGGUUUGUCUGAUGUUGAUCCAGUUCGGAUGCCUAUACAUGAUCUGGAUACUGCUGAAAAUAAUGUUCAGAAUGAUGAGCAACAUGGUGAUGUUGGUGAUCAGCAGCUUGGAGAUGAUUUUGAUGUUCCUAAUGAUGAUGCUGAAGAAGAACAUGAGAUGUCACAAGAUGAGGAUCUUGGUGAUGCUCCUGAACCACCUCAAGCUCAAGUUUGGAGGUCUACUAGGCAGAGGAAACCAUCCACCAGGUAUCCUUCUGAUGACUAUGUUACCUUGACUGAUGGAGGCGAACCUGAAUGUUAUGAUGAAGCCAUGGAGAGUGAUGAAAAGAAGAAGUGGUUGGAUGCUAUGCAAGAUGAAAUGAAGUCUUUGCAUGAUAAUCACACUUUUGAUUUGGUGAAACUACCUAAGGGAAAGAAGGCUUUGGAAAACAGGUGGAUCUUCAGAGUGAAGCAAGAAAGCAAUUCUACAUCUCCAAGAUAUAAAGCCAGAUUAGUUGUGAAAGGUUUCAGACAGAGAAAGGGUGUUGAUUUCAAUGAGAUUUUUUCUCCUGUGGUGAAGAUGUCAUCCAUUAGAACUGUGUUGAGUUUGGCUGCUACUCUUGAUUUGGAGGUAGAGCAAAUGGAUGUAAAAACUGCUUUCCUUCAUGGUGAUUUGGAGGAAGAGAUUUACAUGAAGCAACCUGAUGGUUUUCUUGUUAAAGGCAAAGAAGACUAUGUGUGUAGGCUCAGAAAGAGUCUAUAUGGUUUGAAGCAGGCCCCGCGUCAGUGGUACAAGAAGUUUGAGUCAGUUAUGUGUGAGCAAGGCUACAGGAAGACUACUUCUGAUCACUGUGUCUUUGUUAAAAAGUUUGCUGAUGAUGAUUUCAUUAUCUUGUUAUUGUAUGUUGAUGACAUGCUUAUUGUUGGGAAAAAUAUUUCCAUGAUUAUCAGGUUGAAGAAGCAAUUGGGCGAGUCAUUUUCCAUGAAAGACAUGGGAGCUGCUAAGAAGAUUCUUGGUAUAAGAAUCAUGUGUGACAGGAACAAGAAGAAACUUUGGCUGUCACAAGAACACUAUGUUGAAAGAGUAUUACAGAGGUUCCAGAUGGAAAAUGCUAAGGCUGUAAGUACUCCUCUUGCUACUCAUUUUAAAUUGAGUACUAGUCAGAGUCCUCCCAAUGAAGCUGAAAAAUCAGAUAUACAACGAGUUCUUUACGUAUCUGUUGUGGGUAGUUUAAUGUAUGCAAUGGUGUGUACAAGGCCUGAUAUUGCACAUGUUGUUGGUACAGUUAGUAGAUUUCUGUCUAAUCCAGGUAGAGAGCAUUGGAAUGCUGUGAAAUGGAUUUUGAGGUAUCUUCGUGGUACUACCAGUUUGAGGCUUUGUUUUGGAGGUGAUAAGCCUACUCUUGUGGGAUAUACUGAUUCUGAUAUGGCUGGAGACAUUGAUUCCAGAAAGUCUACUUCAGGCUACUUGAUUAAGUUUGCAGGGGGAGCUGUGGCAUGGCAAUCUAGAUUGUAGAGAUGUGUUGCAUUGUCCACUACUGAGGCAGAGUUCAUUGCCAUUACAGAAGCAUGCAAGGACUUGUUAUGGUUGAAGAAAUUCUUGCAGGAGCUUGGUUUUGUUCAAGAUAAGUACUUGCUAUUUUGUGAUAGUCAAGGUGCAAUUCAUCUUGGUAAGAAUUCAUGUUGGUACUUGCCAUUUUGUGAUAGUCAAGGUGCAAUUCAUCUUGGUAAGAAUUCAUGUUGGUACUUGCUAUUUUGUGAUAGUCAAGGUGCAAAACAAAGCCUCAAACUGGUAGUACCACGAAGAUACCUCAAAAUCCAUUUCACAGCAUUCCAGUGCUCUCUACCUGGAUUAGACAGAAAUCUACUAAUUGUACCAACAACAUGUGCAAUAUCAGGCCUUGUACACACCAUUGCAUACAUUAAACUACCCACAGCAGAUGCAUAAGGAACUCGUUGCAUAUCUGAUUUUUCAGCUUCAUUGGUAGGACUCUGACUAGUACUCAAUUUAAAAUGAGUAGCAAGAGGAGUACUUACAGCCUUAGCAUUUUCCAUCUGGAACCUCUGUAACACUCAAUCAACAUAGUGUUCUUGUGACAGCCAAAGUUUCUUCUUGUUCCUGUCACGCAUGAUUCUUAUACCAAGAAUCUUCUUAGCAGCUCCUAAUUGCUUCUUCAACCUGUCAAUCAAGGAAAUAUUUCUCCCAACAAUAAGCAUGUCAUCAACAUACAAUAACAGGAUAAUGAAAUCCUCAUCAGCAAACUUUUUAACAAAGACACAGUGAUCAAAAGUAGUCUUCUUGUAGCCUUGCUCACACAAAAUUGACUCAAACUUCUUGUACCACUGACGCGGGGCCUGCUUCAAACCAUAUAGACUCUUUCUGAGCCUACACACAUAGUCUUCCUUGCCUUUAACAAGAAAACCAUCAGGUUGCUUCAUGUAAAUCUCUUCCUCCAAAUCACCAUGAAGGAAAGCAGUUUUUACAUCCAUUUGCUCUACCUCCAAAUCAAGAGUAGCAGCCAAACUCAACACAGUUCUAAUGGAUGACAUCUUCACCACAGGAGAAAAAAUCUCAUUGAAAUCAACACCCUUUCUCUGUCUGAAACCUCUCACAACUAAUCUGGCUUUAUAUCUUGGAGAUGUAGAAUUGCUUUCUUGCUUCACUCUGAAGAUCCACCUGUUUUCCAAAGCCUUCUUUCCCUUAGGUAGUUUCACCAAAUCAAAAGUGUGAUUAUCAUGCAAAGACUUCAUUUCAUCUUGCAUAGCAUCCAACCACUUCUUCUUUUCAUCACUCUCCAUGGCUUCAUCAUAACAUUCAGGUUCGCCUCCAUCAGUCAAGGUAACAUAGUCAUAAGAAGGAUACCUGGUGGAUGAUUUCCUCUGCCUAGUAGAGCUCCAAACUUGAGCUUGAGGUGGUUCAGGAGCAUCACCAAGAUCCUCAUCUUGUGACAUCUCAUGUUCUUCUUCAGCAUCAUCAUUAGGAACAUCAAAAUCAUCUCCAAGCUCCUGAUCACCAACAUCACCAUGUUGCUCAUCAUUCUGAACAUUAUUUUCAGCAGUAUCCAGAUCAUGUAUAGGCAUCCGAACUGGAUCAACAUCAGACAAACCAUUAUCAAUCUCAGGUGUAGUCUUCUCCAUCUUAUCAAUGUCUUCAAUGGUUUGGUCUUCCAUGAACUUCACAUCACGGCUUCUAACAGCUUUCUUCUCAACUGGAUCAAACAGCUUGUAGCCAAAUUCAUCCUGACCAUAACCGAUAAAGAUGCACUGUCUUGUCUUCGCAUCCAACUUGGAUCUCUCAUCCUUUGGAACAUGCACAUAUGCUUUGCAACCGAAGACACGCAAAUGAUCAUACCUGACAUUCUUGCCAAACCAAAUCUUGUCUGGCACCUCAGCAUUCAAAGCAACUGCAGGACUCAGAUUAAUAACAUGCACUGCCGUGUACAAUGCUUCACCCCAGAAAUGCUUAGGCAACUUUGCUUCAGAAAGCAUACACCUAACUCUUUCAAUCAAUGUCUUGUUCAUUCUCUCUGCUAAACCAUUCAGCUGAGGAGUUUUAGGAGGAGUCUUUUCAUGUCUGAUACCGUGCUGCUUGCAAUAAGAAUCAAAUGGUCCACAAUAUUCACCACCAUUGUCAGUACGAAUGCAUUUGAACUUCUUUCCUGACUGUCUCUCCACCAUAACAUGGAACUCUUUGAAUUUCUCCAGAACUUGGUCUUUUGUCUUCAAAGCAUAGACCCAAAGCUUCCUGGAACAAUCAUCAAUAAAAGUAACAAAGUAAAGUGCACCACUAAAUGACUUUACCUUCAACGGGACACAAACAUCAGAAUGCACCAAUUCAAGCAACUCUGACUUCCUUGAGGGAGCAUGUUUCUUGAAGGAUACUCUAGUCUGCUUACCAGCCAUGCAAUGAGAAUAUUUCUCCAACUCUGAACUCUUUAAUCCCGGAAGUAAAUCCUUUUUAGCUAAAAAAUUCAGCCCCUUUUCACUGAUAUGACUAAGCCUGCGGUGCCACAAAGAAGACUCCAUAUCCAUGGCAUUCACACUGUCUUUAGCAACCAAUGCUUUAGUCCAAUAUAGUUUAUUAAUUUUCUCCCCUCUGGCCACAACUAAGUUACCUCUGGUGAGUUUCUAUUUUCCUGAACCAAAGUGAUUAUCAUAACCACCAUCAUCAAGCAUCUGCACAGAGAUCAAAUUAAAGCGAACAUUUGGAGCAUGUUUGACUCCUCUAAGCAACAACUGCACUCCCAUGUUGGUCUGCAAACAAACAUCACCAAUACCAACUACCUUGGACACACCAUCAUUACCCAUCUUCAACACUCCAAAGUCACCAGAAGUGUAAGAUGUGAAGAACUCCUUCCUUGGUGUAACAUGCAGUGUAGCACCACUAUCAAUAAUCCACAUGCUCUCAUCUGAUACAAGAUUGACUGAGUCAUAGUCACGGAGAAUAAUCAGAUCAUCACAAGUAGCAGUAGUAACACGGUCAUCAUCAUCAUGAUUCUUAUCUCUCUACUUACUGUUAUUGUUUUUGCUCUCCCUUUUCCAUAUGAAGCACGGUCAUCAUCAUCAGAUCAUCACAAGUAGCAGUAGUAACACGGUCAUCAUCAUCAUCAUGAUUCUUAUCUCCCUGUUUGUUCCCUUUCGGCUCCUUUCUUUGACUUCGGCCCCUGUUCUCAGUGACAAGUACCUCGGAAUGAGAUGAAGUACCUUGUGCCUUCCUUCUCAUCUCCUCAUUAAGAACACUUCCUUUUACACUUUGCAAAGAGACAACACCAUCAGAAGCUGAGUUUGUAAUUGAAACCCGAAAAGUUUCCCAAGAAUCUGGUAGAGUAUUCAGUAGCCAUAGUCCCAACACUUCAUCAUCAAAUUUGAUACCCAUACCUGACAAUUGAUCUAGGAGCCCUUGAAAAUCAUUUAAGUGAUCUGAAAUAGAAGUCCCCUCCUUGUACCUCAAAUUCAUCAAGGAGUUCAACAAACACAACUUAUUAUUAUCUGAUUCAGAAGCAUACUAAGAUUCAAUCUUCUUCCACAAGGAUCUUGCAUGUUCCUUAUUAGCAAUGUGAUUAUAAACAUUAUCUUCUACAUAUUGCCGAAUAAAACCACAAACCUGCUGAUGUUCAAAACUCCAAUCCUCAUAAGUCUUGGAUUCUGGCUUCUCACUAGCAAACACAGGAAGAUGCAAAUUCUUCACAAAUAACAGAUCCUUCAUUUUUCCCUUCCAUAAGUGAUAAUUAGUGCCAUUCAAACAAAUCAUUCUAUUUGUAUUUGCCUCCAUCAUUCAAACAAGUCAAACAUCCCCUUAACCAAAGAGCUCUGAUGCCACUCUGAUGGGAAAUUCAGCAACAAAUAACAAUAACAUCUAACAGAGCAAUAUGCAGCGGAUAAUCAAUUUCCCACACUUGCAAGAAUCUGUGAGGAGCAACAACAAAUAAUCACAGCAACUAAAAUCACUACCACAAAUGACACAAUAAUUUCAGUGUGAGAAGUAAACAACCACGGGACCAAGCCAGUAAUAGAGCUCCACUAUGAUCAAAAUAUGGGUACAAGAGAGUUUCAAAUAUGCACAAAUUCGUGCUCAGUAACCAGACAAAAAUCAGCAAGGUAACCAGCACAACAAUCGGCCAAAACAUUGAGAAAACAAGCAUGAAAUUGAGAACAAAGUUCAACAGAAAAACUAGGAAAAACAGCUACUGUCCGAGCUCAAUAUCUCCCACCUCAGACCUCUGAUCGACGAUCCAACCGGUCAGAUUGAAGUACCAUGAGGCACGAAGCUGCGGUCCAAAUUUCAGCCCGAUCCGACGGUGAAAGAAAGAGAAAUCGCGAAUCUAGUGCAGCUGCUCUGUUUUAUGCGAAAAUGGGUUUUGCUCUUCCUCUCUCACUUUUCUCUUUGCCUCACUCUCUAAAUUCAGCUCUCUCUCCCACUAAUCUGACCUCUCUCCACUUGGUUAAGUGAGACACAUGGGGUUGCACAUAUUGGGCCUUUCUCCACAUAGGAAGGGAGCCCAAAACCCAACAAUACACUGAUCCAUUAAGUUGGACAAACUUAUUUUAAGUUCAAGAAGUUUACUAUCGAAAAGUUGUUAGAAGCUUUUCCUCAAGAUUUUAAGGAUAAAGAUCUUCUCAAAUUUAAGGAUAAGCUCGAGUUCAAAAUACUUUUGAGCGUGUUGAUGCAGUUUUACUUAUUCAUAUAUUUGUAAAAAUCUCUCAAAGUAUUUCCAUUGUGAAAAUCUUUCAAAACAUAAACUUUUAUAAAAAUCUCUCAAAGUAUUUUAAGUUCAAAGUAUUUGUAAAAAUCUUUCAAAACAUAAACUUUUAUUGUUUCUAGCAACCUUUAAAUACAAUAAAUUAAUAAUUUGAAAUUAAUAAAAAUAAAACUAUCCAUAUAUAAAUUUAUAACAACCCAUUAUUAAUUAGUAAUUUGUAACAAUCCAAAACCUCACAUAAUUACUAUAAUUAAAAAUCAUAACGAUAUAAUGAUCAAUAAUAUUAAUAGAUUUACCUGGAUCUCUUGAGAUGGUAACAAGCUGGCUCACUUAGCAGCAACUUUAGCUGAAUCUGUGGACAGUCUCCCCUCCAGAUGUGAUUCAAUUAAUAGAGCUGCUAAGGACAACAGCACGAGCAAUAAAUAGAUCUCAGAUCAGAAGGAUCUGCACCUGCUGUUGGUUUAUUCUCCACCUUGUCUGGUGCAUCUCAAAUCCCUCACUGGUUCUGGUUUCGGUGCCACCGUUGCUGGCCUUACGUAAAUAUUUUGUUUUGCUUUCCAGAGGUUGUUAUCUCGUUUGGUGUUUUGAGUGGUUGGUAUUGCAAAACUUUUCAUGAGUUUAAAGAAUCUCUUUGUCUCUACUUUACUGUCACCGUUUGAGCUGUUGAUGGGAUUACUUUAUGCAUGUGGAGCUUAUCAAAUUCAAUGCUUCCAUGUGUUUACAUUGUCUUUAUGAGUUUUAGUAUAUUAUUAUUAUGUUCGUGGUCCAACAUGACUACACGGUUUUUUUUACCCUUUAUGGGUGUUAGAUGUAGCACUU